Gavialis gangeticus (Gharial) is the source of this 100-nucleotide long non-coding RNA. RefSeq lists it as uncharacterized. The record is from RefSeq and is a predicted model, not a curated record. NCBI's taxonomy places the organism in Eukaryota, Metazoa, Chordata, Crocodylia, Gavialidae. The transcript is spliced from 3 exons.
GUAUGCCUCCUUUUUAGCUAGAUGUUCCCAGAUGCUUUUGGUGAGCCAUGGGGGCUUUUGCCCCCUCUUGCCUCCUUUCAUCCAUUAUGUUUCCUUCUGG